This 465-nucleotide ribosomal RNA is filed under the name uncultured bacterium. RNAcentral's name for it is "partial 16S ribosomal RNA". It matches the Rfam family "Bacterial small subunit ribosomal RNA", at positions 28 to 507 of the family's 1533-position model. The record is from RNAcentral.
GACGAACGCUGGCGGCGUGCUUAACACAUGCAAGUCGAACGGAAAGGCCCUGCUUGCAGGGUACUCGAGUGGCGAACGGGUGAGGAACACGUGGGUGAUUUGCCCUGCACUUCGGGAUAAGCCUGGGCAACUGGGUCUAAUACCGGAUAGGAGCCAUUUUUAGUGUGAUGGUUGGAAAGGUUUUCCGGUGUAGGAUGAGCUCGCGGACUAUCGGCUUGUUGGUGGGGUAAUGGCCUACCAAGGCGGCGACGGGUAGCCGGCCUGAGGGAGUGGACGGCCACAUUGGGACUGAGAUGCGGCCCAGACUCCUACGGUAGGCAGAAGUGGGGAAGAUUGCACAAUCGGCGCAAGCCUGAUGCAGCGACGCCGCGUGGGGGAAGACGCCCUUCGUGUUGUAAACUCCUUUCGCUAGAGACGAAGCUUUUUGUGACGGUACCUAGAUAAGAAGCACCGGCUAACUACGUG